UUCCCUCUGAAAUCAUUGAAGGUAACACCUGCUCAAUGAAUAUUUAAAUAGCCGCGGAAAUUAACUGUGCUAAGGUAGCAUAAUCAUUAGCCUCUUAAUUAGGGGCUAGUAUGAAUGGUGAUACAUUUCAAUUACUCUUUUAAUUACUUUACUCGAACCUCAACUAAGAAUAAAAAUGUUCUUAUUUAAUAAAUAGACGACAAGACCCUUUUGAACUUUACUGCUGUUUAGCUGGGGCAGCUAAAAAAUAAUAAUCUUUUUAUUUAUUGUUCAUUAGACGACCCAAUUUUAUUGAUUACUCGAUCAAGUUACCAUAGGGAUAACAGCGUAAUAUCUUUUAAAAGCUCUUAUUUAAAAAGAAGUUUGCGACCUCGAUGUUGAAUUAGCGUAACUUUAUUGAUGCAAAAAUCUUACAAGUGGGUCUGUUCGACCCAUAAAACGCUACAU
This 447-nucleotide ribosomal RNA is filed under the name Acroaspis sp. 169 DD-2019. RNAcentral's name for it is "partial 16S large subunit ribosomal RNA". It matches the Rfam family "Bacterial large subunit ribosomal RNA", at positions 1829 to 2601 of the family's 2925-position model. The record is from RNAcentral. Lineage: Eukaryota; Metazoa; Arthropoda; Arachnida; Araneae; Araneidae.